UGGGCCUGCUUGGCAGCCUCCAGGCCUCUGGGAGGCCCCAAGCCCAAGCCUGGCCCACUGUCUGCUGCAGGAUGCCCAGCAGGGGGAGGGCCCAUCUGGACCUCGCCCCACCACCCCAGUUUGGUUCAGGUUUCCUUUUGAGGGCAAGAUGCCUUCCCCGCCCUGGAGAGAGUGACCACCUGCCAGAUGGUCUCAUCCCAGGGGCUGAGCUUGGAGAGGGCUGUGAGCCUGGCUGCCAACACCAGGAGGAAGGAAGAUGGACGCUGCAGAGCUGAGUGCUGCUCCCAGUUGGGUGGGUAAUGCAGGCCCUGGCCCAUUUGAUGAACGGACACAGCUGCCACAGUUAUGCUCCCCCACCAAGGUUGCUCCUCUCCAGCUGAGAGCCCUCAGCCCCUCAGCCAUAAUUCAUGUGACUAAAUGUUGAUGUCCUCCAAAAGGUCCUCCCCCUAAAGCACAGUACUAGAACCAAGCAUAAGAUUUCGGUUAUUCAUGCAGGUCAGUGGAAGGUAGCACUAUCACCUCCCUGGAUUGAGGACUUAGAUCUCUA
Long non-coding RNA from Eptesicus fuscus (big brown bat), 547 nucleotides. RefSeq lists it as uncharacterized. The transcript is spliced from 3 exons. NCBI's taxonomy places the organism in Eukaryota, Metazoa, Chordata, Mammalia, Chiroptera, Vespertilionidae. The record is from RefSeq and is a predicted model, not a curated record.